This 1461-nucleotide ribosomal RNA is filed under the name Nodosilinea foveolarum. Its description in RNAcentral is "bacterial SSU rRNA". It matches the Rfam family "Bacterial small subunit ribosomal RNA". The record is from RNAcentral. Lineage: Bacteria; Bacillati; Cyanobacteriota; Cyanophyceae; Nodosilineales; Nodosilineaceae.
GAUGAACGCUGGCGGUAUGCUUAACACAUGCAAGUCGAACGGUCUCUUCGGAGAUAGUGGCGGACGGGUGAGUAACGCGUGAGAACAUGCCUUUAGAUUGGGGACAACAGUUGGAAACGACUGCUAAUACCGAAUGUGCCUUAGGGUGAAAGAUUUAUUGUCUAAAGAUUGGCUCGCGUCAGAUUAGCUAGUUGGAGUGGUAACGGCACACCAAGGCGACGAUCUGUACUUGGUCUGAGAGGAUGACCAGGCACACUGGAACUGAGACACGGUCCAGACUCCUACGGGAGGCAGCAGUGGGGAAUUUUCCGCAAUGGGCGAAAGCCUGACGGAGCAAUACCGCGUGAGGGAGGACGGCUUUUGGGUUGUAAACCUCUUUUAUCAGGGAAGAAUCGAUGACGGUACCUGAUGAAUCAGCAUCGGCUAACUCCGUGCCAGCAGCCGCGGUAAUACGGAGGAUGCAAGCGUUAUCCGGAAUUAUUGGGCGUAAAGCGUCCGUAGGUGGUUUAUCAAGUCUGCUGUCAAAGCGUGCGGCUUAACCGCAUAAGGGCAGUGGAAACUGAUGAACUAGAGUGCGAUAGGGGUAACAGGAAUUCCCAGUGUAGCGGUGAAAUGCGUAGAUAUUGGGAAGAACACCAGCGGCGAAAGCGUGUUACUGGGUCUGCACUGACACUGAGGGACGAAAGCUAGGGGAGCGAAAGGGAUUAGAUACCCCUGUAGUCCUAGCCGUAAACGAUGACAACUAGGCGUGGUUCGUAUCGACCCGAGCCGUGCCGUAGCCAACGCGUUAAGUUGUCCGCCUGGGGAGUACGCACGCAAGUGUGAAACUCAAAGGAAUUGACGGGGGCCCGCACAAGCGGUGGAGUAUGUGGUUUAAUUCGAUGCAACGCGAAGAACCUUACCAAGGCUUGACAUCCUCGGAACCCUGAUGAAAGUUAGGGGUGCCUUCGGGAGCCGAGAGACAGGUGGUGCAUGGCUGUCGUCAGCUCGUGUCGUGAGAUGUUGGGUUAAGUCCCGCAACGAGCGCAACCCACGUUUUUAGUUGCCAGCAUUUAGUUGGGCACUCUAGAGAGACUGCCGGUGACAAACCGGAGGAAGGUGUGGAUGACGUCAAGUCAGCAUGCCCCAUACGCCUUGGGCUACACACGUACUACAAUGCGUCGGACAAAGAGCAGCCAGCCAGCGAUGGUGAGCCAAUCUCAUAAACCGGCGCUCAGUUCAGAUUGCAGGCUGCAACUCGCCUGCAUGAAGGCGGAAUCGCUAGUAAUCGCAGGUCAGCAUACUGCGGUGAAUACGUUCCCGGGCCUUGUACACACCGCCCGUCACACCAUGGGAGUUGGUCACGCCCGAAGUCGUUACUCUAACUGCUUGCAGAGGAGGACGCCGAAGGUGGGGCUGAUGACUGGGGUGAAGUCGUAACAAGGUAGCCGUACCGGAAGGUGUGGCUGGAUCACCUCCUUA